RNAcentral lists this ribosomal RNA (673 nucleotides) under uncultured bacterium. Its description in RNAcentral is "bacterial SSU rRNA". It matches the Rfam family "Bacterial small subunit ribosomal RNA", at positions 94 to 803 of the family's 1533-position model. The record is from RNAcentral.
AGUGGCGAACGGGUGAGUAACACGUGAGCACCUGCCCCUGACUCUGGGAUAAGCGCUGGAAACGGCGUCUAAUACUGGAUACGAUCGCAUGGUGAAAGAUUUUUCGGUUGGGGAUGGGCUCGCGGCCUAUCAGCUUGUUGGUGAGGUAAUGGCUCACCAAGGCGUCGACGGGUAGCCGGCCUGAGAGGGUGACCGGCCACACUGGGACUGAGACACGGCCCAGACUCCUACGGGAGGCAGCAGUGGGGAAUAUUGCACAAUGGGCGCAAGCCUGAUGCAGCAACGCCGCGUGAGGGAUGACGGCCUUCGGGUUGUAAACCUCUUUUAGCAGGGAAGAAGCGAGAGUGACGGUACCUGCAGAAAAAGCACCGGCUAACUACGUGCCAGCAGCCGCGGUAAUACGUAGGGUGCAAGCGUUGUCCGGAAUUAUUGGGCGUAAAGAGCUCGUAGGCGGUUUGUCGCGUCUGCUGUGAAAUCUGGGGGCUCAACCCCCAGCCUGCAGUGGGUACGGGCAGACUAGAGUGCGGUAGGGGAGAUUGGAAUUCCUGGUGUAGCGGUGGAAUGCGCAGAUAUCAGAGGAACACCGAUGGCGACGCAGAUCUCUGGGCCGUACUGACGCUGAGAGCGAAUGGUGGGGAAGCAAACAGCUUAGAUACCUGUAGGUCCACCCCGU